GUGAACGCUGGCGGUAGGCCUAACCCAUGCAAGUCGAACGGCAGCACAGUAAGAGCUUGCUCUUACGGGUGGCGAGUGGCGGACGGGUGAGGAAUACAUCGGAAUCUACUUUUUCGUGGGGGAUAACGUAGGGAAACUUACGCUAAUACCGCAUACGACCUACGGGUGAAAGCAGGGGAUCUUCGGACCUUGCGCGAUUGAAUGAGCCGAUGUCGGAUUAGCUAGUUGGCGGGGUAAAGGCCCACCAAGGCGACGAUCCGUAGCUGGUCUGAGAGGAUGAUCAGCCACACUGGAACUGAGACACGGUCCAGACUCCUACGGGAGGCAGCAGUGGGGAAUAUUGGACAAUGGGCGCAAGCCUGAUCCAGCCAUACCGCGUGGGUGAAGAAGGCCUUCGGGUUGUAAAGCCCUUUUGUUGGGAAAGAAAAGCAGCAGGUUAAUACCCCGCUGUUCUGACGGUACCCAAAGAAUAAGCACCGGCUAACUUCGU
Molecule: ribosomal RNA, 490 nt
Filed under: uncultured bacterium
Lineage: Bacteria
Description: partial 16S ribosomal RNA
Rfam family: Bacterial small subunit ribosomal RNA
Source: RNAcentral